AAUCACGUGCCUAACACACGUGCCUAUAUGGGCUUCAAUUUUCAUCAACACACGUCCAAGAAUGCAAAUAAACUCAGCGCUAAAAAAACCGCUGCUAAUAACUCCCCACUCUACGCCAGUACUCGAUCCACUUCUAACAUCAAACCCUAUCACGCUGGCCGGAUUCUUCUCAAUUCUUCACCGGCAUGUGAAUUCUCAGUCUUGAGCGACUGCGCGAAAACAAUCAAUUUGCAACUGAAAUCUAUGAGAUUUCAAUAAUCGUCUUCAGUAGGCCAAGGAUUGUUGCGAAUAAUCGUCUUCAGUAGGCUGAGGAUUGUUGCGAAUCAACCAAAAUCAGGUUUAAGGUACCAGAGGGUGUGAUCUGUUGCUGCAGCUGCACUUCCUGUGCCAUUUGGGACUUCACAUGUUGGACUUGUUCAUCGAGCUCAACUCAAAAGUGGUCAGGUACUCAAAAAUAAUGAAGGUGCAACAGAACGGAUGGCUUCAAAGUAGCUACCAUCGUAUCGUCAUCUAUUUUGCUAGCGCGCUGGAUCUUAUUAGUUAGCUUAUUUUCAAGCGUCCAGAUUUAGAGGCAACAAGCUGCUGCAAGUCAUCGCGAACGGAGACGCUUUUAUGCGACGAGACAAUUGGGGACUAUGUUAGGCGUCGAGAAUGGCGACGCUUUUACGUGUCGUGAAUUACCUCAAUUGACACGACGCUUUUAGAAAGCGUCGCAAGCAAAUUUAGCGACGCUUUUUGGCGUCGCCAAAUGGGUUAAAAAGCGUCGCGAUAACACUCAUUUUGUAGUAGUGGCCCCUACUUGUGCUGCUUAGAAAAAGAUCAGUGGGGGCAAGUCUUAGAAGACCUACAUGAAGGAACGUGCGGGAAUCAUUCAGGAGGACGCAGCUUAUCCAGCAGAGCGUUGCGUAUGGGUUACUAUUGGCCCACAAUGAAGAAAGACGCAAUAAGGUAUGUCACCAAGUGCGAUAGCUGUCAAUGACACGCAGGUAUGACGUAUAAACCUUGUGAGAUUUUACAUCCUUCUUUAACACCUUGCCUUUCAUGAAAUGGGGCAUGCAUAUAGUUGCUAAAAUAACCUCCAUCCCCAGGUCAGAAGGUCUUUAUGUUGGCAUUAACUGAUUACUUUUCUAAAUGGAUAGAAGCAGAUUCUUUCCAACAGGUGCGCGACAAAGAAGUUAUUUCUUUUAUAUAUACUAACAUAAUUUGCAGGUUUGGUGUCCCAUCUGAAAUCAUAUGCGACGAUGGGUCGCAGUUUAUUAGCGACAAGUUAAAACAUUUUUGCGACGAAUGGAACAUAACGUUGUUAACAUCAACGCCAAGGAAUCCACAAGCCAAUGGACAGGCUGAGUCUAGCAAUAAGACUGUCAUUGAUAGCCUGAAGAAGCGACUCACCGCCAAGAAAGGCAAGUGGGCAGAGGCAAUACCUUCCAUCCUGUGGGCCAAUCGCACCACACCACGCACUGCGACAGGACAAACGUCGUUCUCGCUAGUCUAUGGAUGUGAAGCUGUUCUACCAUCUGAAGUGAACGUUCCGACCGCCAGAUAUGGCUUAAUGACGGAGCAGCAAAUUUGCAAUGAGCUUGUCAACGAUUCGGAUACCAUCAAGGAGUUGCGAGACGCAGCAUUGGUACGUAUGGCAGCUCAGCAGCAAGUAGUCGCAAGAAGUUUCAACAAAAAUGUUCAAGCCAAAUCCUUCGUCGAAGGCGAUUGGGUUCUAAGGAAAGUAUUUCAAAAUACACAAGAAGUCAACGCUGGCAAGUUAGGGCCUAAAUGGGAAGGACCAUACCAAAUUAGUAAAGUAGUAGGCAAUGGAGCCUACCAACUGGCCCGCCAUGACGGAAGCUUCGUGCCACGUAGUUGGAACGCGACGCAUCUUAAACAAUACUUCUUCUAGCUAAGUAAAUUUGCUAUGUUAUCUUUACAAUGUGUAGGAAAUAAAUGACAUCAUUAUUAUGUCAACGCCGCUAACUGUUAGCGACCUUAGUGUUGUCUUACUGUGUUUUGUUGUCUUUCAGGAGAUUCAUUCCCAUCUGUUUCAAUAAUGUCGCAACGUUCUAACGACGCGAAGCACAAUCGUUUAUUUCAUCGUACAAUAAGAGUAGAGUGAUGUUGUCACUAUCUACAGCCUUUCAGUUUUCUUUGCUCAAUAAGUAUAUCACGACGGAUGUCUUGCUAUUGUGUACCAUGAUUGUCUACGAUGAUUCUACGUGUUCCCCGACAAUUACAUGACAUUGACGCAAUGACGCAUCGACUUUGACGAUAAGACGUGGUAGCCGAAAGGAUGAAGCGCGAAGACUAAGUCAAUUAGCUUAGUAACUAACUGUCCGGAAAAGAAGGAUGAUGAUCCUAUCAUGAUUCAGCUAACCAUGCCGCUAAGGGAAAUCAGUUACGCAAGGUUAGGAGGCAGAAUUCAUUGGUUGAGCAAAA
This is a long non-coding RNA of Beta vulgaris subsp. vulgaris (sugar beet), 2427 nucleotides long. RefSeq lists it as uncharacterized. The transcript has 6 exons. The record is from RefSeq and is a predicted model, not a curated record. Lineage: Eukaryota; Viridiplantae; Streptophyta; Magnoliopsida; Caryophyllales; Amaranthaceae.